Molecule: small RNA, 96 nt
Filed under: Pan troglodytes (chimpanzee)
Lineage: Eukaryota; Metazoa; Chordata; Mammalia; Primates; Hominidae
Also listed under: 1 other name
Description: processed transcript
Source: RNAcentral
AUUAUUCUUCUGCUGUUCAGAAAUUUUCCCAGACGCUGCAGUCAUUUCAGUUUGAUUUCAUUGGAGACACUCUGACUGAUGAUGAAAUUAACAUCG